UACGUUUUUAUCACCGCAAUAUCUACAUAAUAUGUUGUUCAGUUUGGCGUUUUAGUUUUUAAGAAAAUCACAAGAAUUGUUCAGCAACUAUAUGUCAGUCUUAUUGAAUUAUUAUGCAUACUUAUAAACUUACCGUGGUUUUCAAUUAAUUUCAACAAAGAUCCGACCUUAAGGUAUUUUUUGCUUCUACUAUUUUACUAUUGAUCAAAUGACAACUAUACAAUAAUCAAUAAAGUAUAUAUGGCACGCAAUUAUACCGGUCGACAAAGGGACUAUAAUAUAAUAAAUUUGGUCGGCAGUUGUUUUGGUGAUGUGGACAUCAGACACGAACGAUAUUGUAUAGAAGGCAUCUUUAAAAAAGGUGAACAGUGACAGUGACGAUAACAAAUUAGAACAAAAAACAACGGAAUGGUAUUUUGGGGUCAUUCGUAUCAAUAUCCACAACCAAUAAUAAUAUCAUGUACAAGUUCAUUCAAGUAGAAAAAACGUGCCUGUCUUUUCAUUCCAGCCAUUGCCCAUUAGAUACGAUGAAAAACAUGUCUUCACAAUAACUUGUAUGUACAAUGUGAUAAUCUAUGAUGGAUAAUACACAAGAUCUGGAACUACAGCGCCGGGCGCGUUCAGGUACAAGAAGUUUCGUCGUCGUCGAUCACUAGGACACGCGGACCAGAUGAUAUAAACUUAAUACCAUUUCUUCAAUUAACAUUCGACUCGAUGAACUGCACAUUUGUUUUAUUAAAAGUUAAAGCAAAUAAUUGUUCAAACAUCUCUGCAUAA
Aphis gossypii (cotton aphid) is the source of this 777-nucleotide long non-coding RNA. RefSeq lists it as uncharacterized. The record is from RefSeq and is a predicted model, not a curated record. Lineage: Eukaryota; Metazoa; Arthropoda; Insecta; Hemiptera; Aphididae. The transcript is spliced from 5 exons.